UUUUUCAGAUAGUGCAGUGGGAUCUUUAACAUCCACAUGAACAGGCACAGUGGGACAUGGGUUUAGAAUCUCAUUUGAAGUACAGCAUUUCUGACAAUGCAACACUCCCUCCAGCAAUGCACUGGAUGGAUUUUUGUCUUCCAUGUGCUUCUUAUUUUUGUCAUGAACAUGAGCGCACUUUGAGUGCUAGAUUUCCAGCAGAUUCCAACUCUGUGUCUCCAAGCAUGUUCCAGAGAGAUUUAGCUCCCUCCACCAACUCACAAAUUCCCAUAAUAUAUACUAAUCACAUCAUGGGAGGAUUUUAAAAAGAAUUGAAAGUUGAUAACUUGGAAAUACACCAUUAGGGCAGAAUGCCAGGCUCUGGGGCAGUUAUAGGAGUGCACAACUAGGCAGAGCUGUGGGGGUGCACGGCUGGGCACGGUUACAGCUUUGUAUGAUUGGGGCAGAAAAGCAGGUCUGUAGGUAGAGUUCAUGUUCUACUCAGGUGAAAGGCAUCAUACAAAUGUAAUUUGUUUUUGUUGUUGCAGGGCUGUAGUGCUGAAGCAGAGGAGCAGGGGUGUGGUACUGGAGCAGAGUAACAGGGCUGUAGUGCUGAAGCAGAGGAGCAGGGCUGUGAUACUGGAGCAGAGUAACAGGGUUGCAGCACCGGGGAUGUGUGCUGGAGAUGGUUGGGUAGCAGCGGCAAUGAGAGCAAGAUGAGAGCAUGGUGAGUUAUUGGCAGAGGUGGCAGGAGGCUGUAGCACAUUUGAAUAUUCAAAAAACCAUUUGAAUAUUCAAAAAAAUGAAUAUUCUUCCCCUAAAUUCUAAAUUAAUUUCUACUGCCUGGAAGCAACUGCCUGGAAGCAAGGGGGAAACCUUAGAGAUGCUGAGCGCUAGAAUUUGAAAGAAGCGUGAGGUGUAGGGGAGGGAAUGAGCCACUCUAACCCACAGCCACUCUCGGGAGAUUAUCAGCACUCUUCUGUAAACCCUAUCUGAACUCUGGAUUGCGUUUCACUGGCUAAGGUAUAUCCCCCUGGUCUCUGUUGCUCUUGUGUGUGCACACUGUUCCUCCACGUUUAUCUUUGUGGAUUGUAUUUUGUGCUUCAUUUUUGAUCUGUGCAUAUUUCAAUAUUUGAGGGAAAGGCACAGUAUACAAUGUCAUCCUCUCUGAUCCAUCCGCCACCCUCUCUCUCCUUUCCUCCCUCCCUGUAGGUACAGUUAUAAGGAUGUCUCUUUCACUGAACUGUAGAGUGUUUGAAGCAGUUUGUCUAAAAACCAGUCCUCACUUGUUUUCUCUGAAAUUAUAUUGUAUUGUCAGGCGUCACUGUUUCAGGGGUUAGGAGGUAUGAGUGAGACGACACAGUCUGGUCUUCAAACUAAUAUUAGAAGCAUUGUAAAUUUAAAGAUAAUUUUAAAGGAAAAUAUAUAGUAUAUAGUUAUUUUGAUCGUUCUUACUACGUGUAGGGUGAAAAGGGAGUCUGCUGUGCUGAACUGUUUAGCUUGUCAUUCACUGUUUUGGGGUUUUUUGGUCUCCAAAGUGCAUCAUCUUCUAAAGCAGAAAAUCUACACUCACAUAUGCAUAUUGUAUAUGUGUAGAAAAUGUAAUCACACCUUGUCUUCGAUUUACAUUAAACUGUGUUAAAUCACUGCAGGGCA
This is a long non-coding RNA of Callorhinchus milii (elephant shark), 1635 nucleotides long. RefSeq lists it as uncharacterized. The record is from RefSeq and is a predicted model, not a curated record. The transcript is spliced from 2 exons. Lineage: Eukaryota; Metazoa; Chordata; Chondrichthyes; Chimaeriformes; Callorhinchidae.